RNAcentral lists this ribosomal RNA (450 nucleotides) under uncultured bacterium. RNAcentral's name for it is "partial 16S ribosomal RNA". It matches the Rfam family "Bacterial small subunit ribosomal RNA", at positions 354 to 796 of the family's 1533-position model. The record is from RNAcentral.
GUGGGGAAUUUUGGACAAUGGGCGCAAGCCUGAUCCAGCAAUGCCGCGUUCAGGAAGAAGGCCUUCGGGUUGUAAACUGCUUUUGUUAGGGAAGAAAUCUUCUGGGCUAAUACCCCGGGAGGAUGACGGUACCUGAAGAAUAAGCACCGGCUAACUACGUGCCAGCAGCCGCGGUAAUACGUAGGGUGCGAGCGUUAAUCGGAAUUACUGGGCGUAAAGCGUGCGCAGGCGGCUUUGCAAGACAGAUGUGAAAUCCCCGGGCUCAACCUGGGAACUGCAUUUGUGACUGCAAGGCUAGAGUACGCGAGAGGGGGAUGGAAUUCCGCGUGUAGCAGUGAAAUGCGUAGAUAUGCGGAGGAACACCGAUGGCGAAGGCAAUCCCCUGGGCCUGCACUGACGCUCAUGCACGAAAGCGUGGGGAGCAAACAGGAUUAGAAUCCCCAGUAGUCC